AUUGAACGCUGGCGGCAGGCCUAACACAUGCAAGUCGAACGGUAACAGGAAGAAGCUUGCUUCUUUGCUGACGAGUGGCGGAAGGGUGAGUAAUGUCUGGGAAACUGCCGGAUGGAGGGGGAUAAGUACUGGAAACGGUAGCUAAUACCGCAUAACGUCGCAAGACCAAAGAGGGGGACCUUCGGGCCUCUUGACAUGGGAUGUGCCCAGAUGGGAUUAGCUAGUAGGUGGGGUAACGGCUCACCUAGGCGACGAUCCCUAGCUGGUCUGAGAGGAUGACCAGCCACACUGGAACUGAGACACGGUCCAUACUCCUACGGGAGGCAGCAGUGGGGAAUAUUGCACAAUGGGCGCAAGCCUGAUGCAGCCAUGCCGCGUGUAUGAAGAAGGCCUUCGGGUUGUAAAGUACUUUCAGCGGGGAGGAAGGGAUUAAAGUUAAUACCUUUGCUCAUUGACGUUACCCGCAGAACAAGCACCGGCUAACUCCGUG
This 490-nucleotide ribosomal RNA is filed under the name uncultured bacterium. RNAcentral's name for it is "partial 16S ribosomal RNA". It matches the Rfam family "Bacterial small subunit ribosomal RNA", at positions 30 to 507 of the family's 1533-position model. The record is from RNAcentral.